AUUGAACGCUGGCGGCAGGCCUAACACAUGCAAGUCGAGCGAGCGGCGGACGGGUGAGUAAUGUCUGGGAAACUGCCUGAUGGAGGGGGAUAACUAAUGGAAACGGUAGCUAAUACCGCAUACCAUCGGAUGUGCCCAGAUGGGAUUAGCUAGUAGGUGGGGUAACGGCUCACCUAGGCGACGAUCCCUAGCUGGGCUGAGAGGAUGACCAGGCAAACUGGAACUGUGACACGGGCCAGACUCCUACGGGAGGCAGCAGGCGGGAAUAUUGCACAAUGGGCGCAAGCCUGAAACAGCCAUGCCGCGUGUAUGAAGAAGGCCUUGGGGUUGUAAAGCACUUUCAGUGGGGAGGCGUUACCCGCAGAAGAAGCACCGGCUAACUCCGUGCCAGCAGCCGCGGUAAUAC
RNAcentral lists this ribosomal RNA (406 nucleotides) under uncultured bacterium. RNAcentral's name for it is "partial 16S ribosomal RNA". It matches the Rfam family "Bacterial small subunit ribosomal RNA", at positions 29 to 526 of the family's 1533-position model. The record is from RNAcentral.